GACGAACGCUGGCGGUGUGCUUAACACAUGCAAGUCGAACGGUAAGGCCCUUUCGGGGGUUCACGAGUGUCGAACGGGGGCGUAACACGUGAGUAACCUGCCCCCAUCUCUGGGAUAACAGUCGGAACCGGUUGCUAAUACUGGAUAUGAGCCUGCAUGUCAUCUUGAGGGUUGGAAAGUUUUUUUGGUUGUGGCUGGCCUCGCGGCCUAUCAGCUUGUUGGUGUGGUAGUGGAUCACCAAGGCUUCUACGCGUAGCCGGCCUGAGAGGGCGACCUGCCACACUGGGACCUAGGGACGGCACAAACUCCGACGGGUGGCAGCAGUGGGGAAGAUUGCACAAGGGACGCAAGGCUGAUGCAGAAGCGCCGCGUGUGGGAUGACGGCGUUAGGGUUGUAAAACGCUUUUGAUAGUGACGAAGCUUUUUGUGACGGUAGCAGUAGAAGAAGCACCGGCUAACUACGUG
RNAcentral lists this ribosomal RNA (465 nucleotides) under uncultured bacterium. RNAcentral's name for it is "partial 16S ribosomal RNA". It matches the Rfam family "Bacterial small subunit ribosomal RNA", at positions 28 to 507 of the family's 1533-position model. The record is from RNAcentral.